Molecule: microRNA precursor, 78 nt
Filed under: Paramuricea clavata
Lineage: Eukaryota; Metazoa; Cnidaria; Anthozoa; Malacalcyonacea; Plexauridae
Source: RNAcentral
UAACAACGUUUCGGAGUUUACUCCAUCAUCAGGUUAUAAAUGUAACCUGAUGAUGGAGUAAACUCCGAAACGUUGUUA